This 23-nucleotide microRNA is filed under the name Drosophila mojavensis. Its description in RNAcentral is "Dmo-Novel-12_5p (mature (guide))". The record is from RNAcentral. Lineage: Eukaryota; Metazoa; Arthropoda; Insecta; Diptera; Drosophilidae.
UUUAUAAUAUUAUCAGGUUUGCU